RNAcentral lists this ribosomal RNA (972 nucleotides) under Triticum aestivum (bread wheat). RNAcentral's name for it is "partial small subunit ribosomal RNA". The record is from RNAcentral. Lineage: Eukaryota; Viridiplantae; Streptophyta; Magnoliopsida; Poales; Poaceae.
AUGGACGCGCUCCCCUUGCAGGAACUGGUAGAUUGGGAAUACAAAAGCCAGGAGAGUGGGAAAAUGCAUGCUUGUGGACAUGAUGCUCACACAUCAAUGCUUCUCGGAGCUGCUAAGCUACUUCAUUCUUGGAAGGAUUACAUCAAGGGUACCGUCAAGCUUGUCUUUCAGCCAGCAGAAGAAGGAUAUGCCGGGGCUUACCAUGUCCUAGAAGAAGGUAUUCUAGACGAUGUGUCUGCCAUUUUUGGUCUGCAUGUCGACCCAAGUCUUCCAGUGGGUACCGUCGUCACCAGGCCAGGGCCAUUCAUGGCAGCAUCGGGACGGUUUUUGAUAACGGUCACUGGGAAAGGCGGUCACGCUGCAAUGCCACACAGUGCUGUCGACCCCAUCGUCAUGGCAUCCUCCGCCAUCAUCAGCCUCCAACAAAUCGUAGCUCGGGAAAUCGAUCCCCUCGAAGCCGCGGUGGUCUCAGUAACAUUCAUGAAAGGAGGUGAUGCUUACAAUGUCAUUCCUGAGUCAGCUUGCUUCGGUGGCACCUUCAGGAGCUUGACAACAGAAGGUCUAUCAUAUCUUAAGAAGAGGAUCAAGGAGAUUGUCGAAGCGCAUGCCGUCGUGAGCCGCUGCACUGCCACCGUCGACUUCAUGGAUGAGGAGCUCCGGCCAUACCCAGCCACCGUCAACGACGAAGGCAUGUACGAUCAUGCCAGAUCAGUGGCAGCGGCUAUGCUUGGAGAAGGCCACGUCAAGAUAGGUGGCCCAAUCAUGGCCGCGGAGGAUUUCUCGUUCUACACGCAGAGAUUCCCAGGGGCAUUUUUCAUGUUAGGAACCCGCGACGAGGCUAUGGCAACCGCGGUUCAUCCACUCCACUCCCCCAACUUUGUGAUCGAUGAGGGUGUGCUCCCGGUGGGAGCUGCCUUCCAUGCUGCUGUGGCGAUGGAGUACUUGAACAAGCGCGGAACCGUGGCAAAGUAA